UACAGAGGGUGCGAGCGUUGUUCGGAAUUAUUGGGCGUAAAGGGCGCGUAGGCGGUGCGGUAAGUCACCUGUGAAAUCUCCUGGCUCAACUGGGAGCUUGCAGGCGAAACUGCCGUGCUGGAGUGUGGGAGAGGUGAGUGGAAUUCCCGGUGUAGCGGUGAAAUGCGUAGAUAUCAGGAGGAACACCGGUGGCGAAGGCGGCUUUCUGGACAGUAACUGACGCUGAGGCGCGAAAGCUAGGGGAGCAAACAGG
This 253-nucleotide ribosomal RNA is filed under the name uncultured bacterium. RNAcentral's name for it is "partial 16S ribosomal RNA". It matches the Rfam family "Bacterial small subunit ribosomal RNA", at positions 524 to 776 of the family's 1533-position model. The record is from RNAcentral.